UAAAGGUGCAUGAGUGGUGUUUGGUUUGAUACGGGUGGUUGGCUCCCUGCUUGAGCAGGCACGGCCACGCGUGCAUUCCUUUUCAGUUGUCCGGCAAGACUUGUAUUGUCUUGAUCGUAUAAGUGGGUUUCUUGUGUUGCAUACCUGAUCAAUGGCAUCGUUUUGAUCAAAAGUGUAUCUUUUUCGUCUGGCAAUGCACCCGCAUUGUCGGAUGAACCGGGCAGCAUCCUCUUUGAUCCAUAAAGUUGACGUGCAUUCGUUGAUUGUUUGGCCCAUUGAGGAUGGCUUGGUCUCUUGGAUAUGGAAGCCAAAGUGGGCAUGGGUUCGUAAGAUCCCUUUACUGCCCUCAUUGAGCGUUCUCGCUUCUCUUAUACGACUGCCUUUCACGUAUGGCACGUCCCAGCGUGUUUGGCUAC
Molecule: unclassified non-coding RNA, 416 nt
Filed under: Ericameria juarezensis
Lineage: Eukaryota; Viridiplantae; Streptophyta; Magnoliopsida; Asterales; Asteraceae
Description: partial external transcribed spacer
Source: RNAcentral